AUAAGUGCAUAUGGUGGAUGCCUUGGCGAUUACAGGCGAUGAAGGACGUGAUAAUCUGCGAAAAGCUUCGGGGAGCUGAUAAAUAAGCUUUGAUCCGGAGAUGUCCGAAUGGGGAAACCCACCCGCAAGGGUAACCGCUCCUGAAUAUAUAGGGAGAUGGUGGCAAACCGAGUGAACUGAAACAUCUAAGUAGCUCGAGGAAAAUAAAUCAACCGAGAUUCCGUAAGUAGUGGCGAGCGAACGCGGAACAGCCUGUUAUUUUUAGCACAUGCGAUAGUAGAACGGAAUGGAAAGUCCGGCCAUAGAGGGUGAUAGCCCCUUAUACGAAAUCCCGUGUGUGGAACUAGGAUAACGACAAGUAGGGCGGGGCACGAGAAACCUUGUCUGAACAUGGGGGGACCAUCCUCCAAGGCU
This 414-nucleotide ribosomal RNA is filed under the name Pycnococcus provasolii. Its description in RNAcentral is "partial Bacterial large subunit ribosomal RNA". It matches the Rfam family "Bacterial large subunit ribosomal RNA", at positions 11 to 467 of the family's 2925-position model. Lineage: Eukaryota; Viridiplantae; Chlorophyta; Pseudoscourfieldiophyceae; Pseudoscourfieldiales; Pycnococcaceae. The record is from RNAcentral.